CCCCGAGACGCAGCGGUACCGGCAUGCACCGUGCCACCUCACCGGGGAAGGGAGGGGCGGGGCGGGGGGGGUGUACGCCGUGCGCUCACCGCACCGCCUCCCGCUGUCAGAAUGAAAACCGAGGUCCAGGAUUCUGUAGUGUCACCCAUCAGUCCGCAGAGAUCAACAGCACCUCAUUGUCAAAGAAAGGAACUGAAUACUUCCCUUCGUGGGUUCCAUGCACUGCAUGCAAGAAAAUCUCCAACUAUCCAGCUGCAAACGCCUACAAGAUCUUGCCACAUUUUCAGCCCAAUCAACUUUAGCAAGGGAAACCGUGGCACGUUUCAACAACCCAUUGCUAGGAUGAUUAAGAAAAUCCUUGCUCCGGCACCCAAUCCAUAACUUAUAAGUAGAUUUGUAAAGAGAGGACAAGGUCAGAGGGGUCACAGCUAGUGUAUAACACUUGUGAUAUUUGAUGUUCCAGAAAACGCUAGAACUAGGUGUCACCUACCUACUUUGGGUGCAGCUUCAGGGCACCUGCAACAGCCCAGACCUUUGCACCAGGUCCUUGCCCUGUGCCUUACCGGUUUGGAGUCUGUGCCACUGUGGGCAGUUUGGCACCAGUGUCUAACGGAGCAAGCAUGAAGCUGGCUCAGGUAUUUCUGCACGAUCUGCUGUGGUGCAGCUGUCCCCCAAGCUGCCAUGAACUUGGAGUGCACACCAGGCAGUUACUUUUCAGUGCCAUGGGAGGACGAACACAGCCCUUACCCUGGGAGAGCAGCAACCCCUGUCCUUGCCGUGUCACAGGCUGUGAUACUGAAAGACCCCACAGCAUCCCAUGAGUUUUCAUCCCAGAAAUCUGACCCGUGUUGGUUGGUUAGAGGGAACUUCUGCCAAGAGGCUCAAGGUAGGCGGAUGUUACCUCUUUAACAGGUACUGGGUUUCGAGGUUCAGCCUCAGCACUGGGAAUCCGGUCUUCCCGUGCACAACUGUACCUGGUUGUGCCCUUGCCCUCGCUGUGGAGCUGUGCCAGGCUGUAUCAGCCAAGGACCCAGCCUGCAGGUUCAGUUCCUGAACCUCCUGCUGAUUCACCCUUGGGUAAGGCACUUAACUGUUCUGUGCCAGCUGCUCCCCACCCAUGCCACUGUGACCAGGCCUCGCUGGGGUGUUGUAAGCGUUAGUCCACAGGAAUUCAGAAUGCUUUGAGAUGUGAAAGGUGUUAAGAAAAUAUGGAGUGUUAUUAACAAUUAUCAGAUCACUUACAAUAAUAUACGCACUGCUAAUGGCUCUUUUCUGUCCCUUCAAUGGUGCCUUGCUAUACUCAAUUACUUUUGGAUUGUUUUGUUACUCUUCAGAGAGAGUUUUUCUCUUUUUCUGCACAGCGUGUCUGCAUUGCAGCCAUUUCCUAGUGAGCUGUCCCCUUUUAAACCACGCUUUAAAGCCAGCUACAACCACUGCUUGGUGAGGCACAGCACAUCGACUCUUUAUAAUAUUUGAUGACUUUGCGUAGCAGUUGAAGACAGAAUGAAGAUGACACAAUUUAAUAAGUUUAAUAAACUGCCACUCAUCAGCUGAGACAACUGGCUGCAUGCAUGUUCUUGAAGCAAUUCAUGCUUUUUUAGUAAUUUGAUACAGUUUAAACAUUAGCAAAGGUGUUUUAAACAAACAUAUCUUACCUCACAAUUUGGGUGUGCAAAGAGCACACAUACAGAGUUACCGAGACUCAGCUGACAUGGGGUAAUUGUGUUCGCUCACACAACCUGUAUGCUACGACUGUGAACUUUCUUAUAAUGACUCACUCCAACUGAGUAUCUGCCCCAGCAUGUUCCAAGUUGAUUAAACUAGUUUGCAGGCCAUAAUUAUUUUCUAUAUCAUACUAUAAUGGAUUCACAUCAUAUUAAUUUUAACAUUGUAAGAAUUUGCUUCUGGGAACGGCCUUCUUGAAUUAAUCACUGACUCAUGAUUUACUGUAGGAGAUAAUAUCUAACCUACAAGAAGCAGAACAGGAAACUAUCUAUUUAAAAGAUGGCAAUGUCUGAUAAUUUAUGGCUAUAGACAAAGAGACAUCUGAGAAGAAAAAGGUGGACAGAUCCUGCAGUCUUUACGUGGGCAAAGUGUUCUCGCUCAAGCAAAAAGUUACUAGAGACUUUUGUCUAGUAACUGGAGGAUUUGCUUUUGAAGCACUGACAGCAGAAAACUGAUGAAUACUGGAGAAAAAAAAUUGAGCAAGAAACAAGAAAACAGGGUCCCAAGCUGUCCUUAAAGCCAUCUUCAGCUCUGGGACCAAACCCUACGUUAAAAUAAAGCCAGUUAAACCUUGUGACUGUUGUAGGCAUUUUACCAGCUUACUAUAGGAAACAUAACAAAAAGCAAGGGAAAAAGCAUCAGUCUUUUUGUGCUUAAAUCUUUAGUGCAAGUGUCUUCCUGCUACCUCCCCCCACUCUUGUGCUUGCACUGGCCUCUUCCACUUAGAUCACUGAAUUAGCCUCGACCAUUAGAUGUUUUCUCUAGCUACAGCCCAAUUAGAAAAAGUCAAUUUCAGCAGACAAUAAUAAAAAGCCUUAAAUCCCAGAGCAUGUUCCAGGGGGUAAAUCUUCAUCCUGGAAAGCUGAAGAACCUUUCCCUUUGUCCCAUUUCACUGUGAUCUAUUCUGUGACUUUGGGUAACUCGUAUAACCUUUGGCACCAUAGUUUUUUUGACUCUGCAAGGACAGCAGUUCUCACUUUGAGCGUGAGACUCCUUAGGAGCAGCAGAUGAAAUGUGUUUCUAUGUAUAUUUUUAAAAGAGCUGUAGUGUGCACCAGGGCAGUGGCUGCAGCAGGUAUCCGAGUGCUCCAUAAGAGCAGCGUGACUUGCUCCCCCAGGGAUUUUUGGCACCUCUGUCCAAGUUAAUUAUCUCGGGGACCGCUAGCAGCACACCGAGCUUGCUGCAAGCUGCAGGAGGGCACAAACACUCCAGCUGUUAUCUGCAGGCUUGAACGAACUGAAACACAGAUUCUUUGAGUCAUCCUUAGCUCAGAGCCAUCAGCCCACCCCGCAGUCCCAGUGGCAACAGCCACAACCACAUGUCCUUUUCUCUGUAGCACUUUCCAGGCUCUGCCAUGCAGAUGCCCCUUUGGCAUCCUGGCAGCGCCGCCUCAAAUUCUGUGCUCAGCUGGUGACUUGAACAAACCAGACACUUAGAGCUGACGUUGGAGGAGUCUGGAGACAGCAACUAAAUACACAAAGCCACAUUUUCUGCAAGAGUUUCAAGUCCUCGGCGUCUGUGUAAAUGCAACCUUUGCAUGCUGGGCCACAAAGGGACCUGCCUACAAUUGGUCACUACAGCAUCAACCAUACCCUCGUCAAGGUGUCUCCCACGGGAUCUCGCUUCACAUCAAAGACCGCCCACCUGACAGGGAGGCACAGAUUUACCCCAGAGCCUGCAACCUGUCAGCUACAUAAACCUACUGAGGAAGCAAAGAAAACUCCUUUCAGGCAGAAAUUCUGCUUGACUUUCUUGGCUCCGGCCAUCCCACCUUGUAAAGAUCCUCCUUCACCCGGGCAGUACAACCUUGUGGAUUACAAAGGCUCCCCAAAGCCCGACUGCUCAAGUGCUGUGUUCACCUCAAACACAGGGCGAUGGACGGAGCGCCUGUCACGGGCAGGGUUCCCUGGGCCAGGUAGAAGUAAGAAUUGUUCUGAAGUAUUUCUUACUACUCGAGGUAGCAAAACACAAAUGCGACAAAACAGCGCUAUUGCCCACACGGCAGAAAAAAAAUGAAGCACAGAAAUUAGCGGAGCUCACAUGCAAAGGCGAAUGGGCACCUAAAGACACACACCAUUUCUGAAAGGCGCUUAAUUCCAUAGCACAUGGCACGUAGGGCCUUUUGUGAGCAGGGGACAGUAGGUUUAUGAUGAGCAAGUGUCUAAAUCCUUCCAAGAUGAGAGCACAGUGUCUCCUGACACCUUUAGAUGGUCUCAUAUCAUCCACAGGGCCACACAGCAGCAGCGUGGCAGAAGCAGCACUGGAGUCCUGACCACCAGCUCUUUGUCCAGCUUGCUGGUCCAUAUUUUACAAUAUUAUUUUUAAAGGCAAGAUUGAAAAAACAACAUGUUUGCCAUGGAAAGGCCAUUAAAGCAUCACUGACUGUCAGCACAUUUGACAAACAGGUUCUGUGAGUUCUGGUGCGUGUGUAAAACUAUCACAUUAUUCUGAGCAGACAUUUCACCUGCAAUAUUCCUCUGUUUGAUUGGGAGAGAGGAGCACUUGCAGGGACGGGGGGGGCAAGGCGUGCCUUGUGACAGUAGAGAGCCUCCGCACCCCAGCUGGAGAGCGGCGUUGGAGCACCUCAGCAUGAUCUCAUGGCUUUUGUGCCCCUCCGACUGCCCUGUCCUCCACGGGCUUCACCAGUGCUUUCCUGACGUAAAGCUGAAUAAAAUGGGGGGAGAAACACAUCCUUCAGCUUGUAAUCAGGAAAUGCCUGGGGAAGCAGGAGGAGGGACCUACGAGGAAUGGGUUAAACACACCAUCCUGACUUACAGCCACCCCACCAGUCCCUCCAGCUCCUGCAGGCAGGGGUCACAGUCGUUCCUCAGCACCAAAGGGACAGCUCACGCAUGGAACAGCACCGAAUUGUGACCCUGGCGUUAGCGUGGGUAAGGGGGAGGCAGAUGCAGGGACAAAUCCUGCUGCAGCCUCCUUGCGCUGAGCAGACCGUUCCUGCGUGGCUGCAGAGCUGCCAUGGGGUGGAGGUGGAGCUCGGCUCAGCCUGGGCGGAUCGUGUCCCUCAGUGCCCGUUGGCUAAUUGUUGCCAGGUGCAAGUAACAUGAUUUUUUCAGUUAGUCAGACUCAUAUUUCUUGCCCUGUUUAUUUCUUCUAAGAUCCUGAAGUCCUUCUGGGAGGUCACUGAAAGGCUGGAAAGGCAGGCAAUAGCAACGCUGCUGUUCUAGUGUUUGAACUUACCCAGCUGCAGGUUUUGUACCAGCCACAGCAGCGAGAGAACAUGCUAGUGCCAUUAGUCUCUCCAGAGCCCUCGCGGCAGCACAGACGGGGUAAUGGGCUUUUCUGGAGCCGUGUCCAGAUCAUAUCCCAGACUUGCACCGCGCCGCGUCGACACGCCAGCUCCCUGAGCGCUGCUCUGCUGACUAAGCCAGGCUGGGAUCCCCAGCCAACGCAAAUCGGGCUGUUUCAGCUAAAGGAGCAGAGCCAGGCCAGUUGGUUCAUGCUGAAGGCCUGACCCACAGCUGUAAGGACGUUACCACAUCGUUUGAGAGGAAGGGAACGAGUGAGAAACACCUUCUGCAGAGGGGAGAGAAACGCCCCCCUCCAUUCUCAUCAGUCUGUCGUGCCAGUUUGAUUAGAAGCCCAUGCAACACCCUGUCAGCGUGCGAGGACAAAGGGACACCAGCACCACAGACGCAGCCAUCCACGCAGUCUGCACACUGUUGCUAUAACCCCUGCAUCUCCUUUCCGCUCUAGCCUGAAAAGAGGGGAAGAGAAUUCCACCGGAUCAGAACUCCCAGCCGUGAGAUUAGAGGCGACUCGAGCCCUUGGCCCACCAGAGCGCACAAUGCGUACAGAACUAUUCCGUACCAUACCACAGAGGAGAACUGCAGUGAGACAAAAUACUUCCCAAUUAAAUCAGUUGGUGGCUGAUACAAAGCAGCAGCUUUAUUAAAAGCUGAUUAUUCAGCAGCUGUUGAUGCGUGGGCUGCUUCGGAGCUGCACUCUCUGUGUUUCCAGCAGCUCUGGGUGAUCCCUUGCACAGGGGUCACAGUCAAAGGCACCAUCAAGACAACCCUCAACACACCAAAGUGAAACUGAAGGCUGUGCACACCAGGCGUUAGCGCUCCACUCCGGUUCUAUGGCCAAAGACAAUUUCCAGCCGAGGACACCAGGACGUUCGCACAGGCUGAGGGUUUUAGUACCCAUCUCACCGACCAGAAAUGUAGUUACACAAAUCCAAGGAACUACCCAAGGAAACGGGAGAGCAGGCAGAGCCCGGGGACCCUCACCGACUUCAUUAAAGCUUUCCACACUGCGGAACAGAUGCCGACAGUUUCAUGCUCCUCUGCCUUUGAUCCUUUCUGAUGCUCUGGUGCUGUGUUGGGUAUCUCCAAACACAACGCGUGGGUGUCCUAACAAAACACAGGAUGCUGUUUUUCCCUUUAUAGUGAUGGAGAACCACACCACACACCAAGAGCCUCAGCUGCUUGGCUGAUGAUGCAAGGAAUGAAUAAGCAUGAAUAAAGACAUAGAAACUGGGUGGUGGUUGUAGAAGUGAGGAGCACAGCCCCCACCCAGCACUGGGGAUACCAGAGCUCUUGCACAACCCAGCUCACGAGCUGCUGUGUUUCUGUUUCUUUUUUAUGCACCUCUGUCACUGCAGGCACUUACUCGCCCAGCGCACUCCGGAGGUAUUCCCUCAUCUACAGCGAUGGUAGGAAUGGCUCCCGGCGCUGUGAGCAGCGGAACGCGGGUGCCAGAGCAGGGUUCCUCGCACGGGACUUCCAUCAUGCUCUGCAAAGCACGCGCUAACAAUAAGAGCCUUGUCCUCAGCACGCUCCCUGAGAGCUCAGCAGCUAAUUAGCGCUACUUGGUACUGUAUUUUGGAAGACGAUCAUCAGCUAAAGUUGAUUUGUAAACUUCCAGUUUUGUAGAUGUUGAAUAAUUAAUACAAUUAACAGGCACUGCAAAAAAAAACCCCAGACUCCUCUUGGUGUUUCCAUCUGAGACACCAAAGAGAAAACCGGUGCUGGGGGCUGACCGUGCC
Long non-coding RNA from Falco peregrinus (peregrine falcon), 6733 nucleotides. RefSeq lists it as uncharacterized. The record is from RefSeq and is a predicted model, not a curated record. The transcript has 5 exons. NCBI's taxonomy places the organism in Eukaryota, Metazoa, Chordata, Aves, Falconiformes, Falconidae.